This 408-nucleotide ribosomal RNA is filed under the name uncultured bacterium. RNAcentral's name for it is "partial 16S ribosomal RNA". It matches the Rfam family "Bacterial small subunit ribosomal RNA", at positions 28 to 526 of the family's 1533-position model. The record is from RNAcentral.
GACGAACGCUGGCGGCGUGCUUAACACAUGCAAGUCGAACGAAGUGGCGAACGGGUGAGUAAUACGUGGGUAACCUGCCCUCCUUUUUGGGAUAAGCCUUGGAAACGGGGUCUAAUACCGAAUAAAGGGGGAUGGGAUCGCGGCCUAUCAGCGUGUUGGUGGGGUGGUGGCCGACCAAGGCGGAGACGGGUAGCCGGCCUGAGAGGGUGACCGUCCCACUUGGGACUGAGAUACGGCCCAAACUCAUCAGGGAGGCAGCAGUGGGGGAUAUUGCACAAUAGGCGAAAUCCUGAUGCAGCCAUGCCGCUUGUAUGAAGAAGGCCCUAGGGUUGUAAAGUACUUACAGUCGGGAGGAGUUACCGACAGAAGAAGCACCGGCUAACUCCGUGCCAGCAGCCGCGGUAAUAC